GUAUGUGGUUCAGGGUGAUACUAAAACCGCACCGUUACAUUUGUGGUCCAAUUAUGUAGAGGUGAAACCAAUGUUUUAAAACUCGGUCUGGACACUGAACCGGACAACUUACCGGAUCACUGGGUUAUUGGAUCGACCGCUGGCAAAUCGCGGAUUAAUAAAUAAAUUUGUUUUGUUAUAUAAUAAUAUAUUAACUAUGUGUACCUUGUGUUGGUGAAAUGAAAUGUGUUGUUGAGGAAAAAAAAUGAUUGUGAGUGACGCUGCGCUCCAAACUCCAAAGAACAAACCGGAGUCCUCUGACCCAAGAAGUCUCUCUCACCCACUGAUUCAAGAAGUCUCUCUCACCCACUUUCACGCCAAGUUUGACCAGAAACUAACGGUGACUAAACGCCGUCAUAUACGGUCAUCCGACCGCUAAGCCGAACAAAACAGUAGUAGUUAGGGGUGGGCACUUUACCCGAUACCCGAAGCCGCACCCGAACCGAAAUCUGAACCGAAGUAGCAAAAUACCUGAACGGGUAUUAAGUUGGGAGAGAUUGGAUAUCCGAACCCGAACGGGUAAUAUCCGAACCCG
Molecule: long non-coding RNA, 574 nt
Filed under: Brassica napus (rape)
Lineage: Eukaryota; Viridiplantae; Streptophyta; Magnoliopsida; Brassicales; Brassicaceae
Description: long non-coding RNA (BNAP_LNC021355)
Source: RNAcentral